UGGGGAAUAUUGGACAAUGGGGGGAACCCUGAUCCAGCCAUGCCGCGUGUGUGAAGAAGGCCUUAUGGUUGUAAAGCACUUUAAGCGGGGAGGAGGGUACUGGUAUUAAUACUACCAGGUACUGGACGUUACUCGCAGAAUAAGCACCGGCUAACUCUGUGCCAGCAGCCGCGGUAAUACAGAGGGUGCGAGCGUUAAUCGGAUUUACUGGGCGUAAAGCGUGCGUAGGCGGCUAAUUGAGUCGGAUGUGAAAUCCCCGAGCUUAACUUGGGAAUUGCAUUCGAUACUGGUUAGCUAGAGUGUGGGAGAGGAUGGUAGAAUUCCAGGUGUAGCGGUGAAAUGCGUAGAGAUCUGGAGGAAUACCGAUGGCGAAGGCAGCCAUCUGGCCUAACACUGACGCUGAGGUACGAAAGCAUGGGGAGCAAACAGG
RNAcentral lists this ribosomal RNA (430 nucleotides) under Pseudomonadota bacterium. RNAcentral's name for it is "Proteobacteria bacterium partial 16S ribosomal RNA". It matches the Rfam family "Bacterial small subunit ribosomal RNA", at positions 355 to 776 of the family's 1533-position model. The record is from RNAcentral. Lineage: Bacteria; Pseudomonadati; Pseudomonadota.